RNAcentral lists this ribosomal RNA (253 nucleotides) under uncultured bacterium. RNAcentral describes it as "partial 16S ribosomal RNA". It matches the Rfam family "Bacterial small subunit ribosomal RNA", at positions 524 to 776 of the family's 1533-position model. The record is from RNAcentral.
UACAGAGGUCUCAAGCGUUGUUCGGAUUCAUUGGGCGUAAAGGGUGCGUAGGCGGCGGAGUAAGUUGGGUGUGAAAUCCCGGGGCUCAACCUCGGAAUGGCAUUCAAUACUGCUUCGCUAGAGUACUGGAGAGGAGGCUGGAAUUUACGGUGUAGCAGUGAAAUGCGUAGAUAUCGUAAGGAAGGCCGGUGGCGAAAGCGAGCCUCUGGACAGUUACUGACGCUGAGGCACGAAGGUCAGGGGAGCAAACGGG